This 164-nucleotide small nuclear RNA is filed under the name Helobdella robusta. Its description in RNAcentral is "U1 spliceosomal RNA". It matches the Rfam family "U1 spliceosomal RNA". Rfam says of the family: U1 is a small nuclear RNA (snRNA) component of the spliceosome (involved in pre-mRNA splicing). The record is from Rfam by way of RNAcentral. Lineage: Eukaryota; Metazoa; Annelida; Clitellata; Rhynchobdellida; Glossiphoniidae.
AUACUUACUUGGCACAGGAGAAUCCGUGAUCAUGAAGGCGGGCCUCCCAAGCCGAGGCUCAACCAUUGCACUGAGGUUGAGUUGAAGCUUGCGAUUACCCCAAAAGUGGGUAAGUCGGGUGCAUUAUUUUUGAUAGUGGGGAACUGCGUUCGCGCUUUUCCUCG